UACGUCGGGUGCAAGCGUUAAUCGGAAUUACUGGGCGUAAAGCGUGCGCAGGCGGUUUUGUAAGUCUGAUGUGAAAUCCCCGGGCUCAACCUGGGAAUUGCAUUGGAGACUGCAAGGCUAGAAUCUGGCAGAGGGGGGUAGAAUUCCACGUGUAGCAGUGAAAUGCGUAGAGAUGUGGAGGAACACCGAUGGCGAAGGCAGCCCCCUGGGUCAAGAUUGA
This 220-nucleotide ribosomal RNA is filed under the name uncultured bacterium. Its description in RNAcentral is "partial 16S ribosomal RNA". It matches the Rfam family "Bacterial small subunit ribosomal RNA", at positions 524 to 743 of the family's 1533-position model. The record is from RNAcentral.